Mustela erminea (ermine) is the source of this 102-nucleotide small nuclear RNA. The record is from RefSeq and is a predicted model, not a curated record. Lineage: Eukaryota; Metazoa; Chordata; Mammalia; Carnivora; Mustelidae.
AAAUGUAUUAUCUAACAUUUAUUCAUUACAUUUUUAAAAACAUGAUUAGCAUGGCCCCUGCACAAGGAUGACACGCAAAUUCGUGAAGCGUUCCAUAUUUUU